Long non-coding RNA from Eriocheir sinensis (Chinese mitten crab), 600 nucleotides. RefSeq lists it as uncharacterized. NCBI's taxonomy places the organism in Eukaryota, Metazoa, Arthropoda, Malacostraca, Decapoda, Varunidae. The record is from RefSeq and is a predicted model, not a curated record. The transcript is spliced from 5 exons.
GGCACCCAUGUUGCCAUCAAGGCCCCAUCUGUAGACGAGGCCCUGUAUUUCAACAGGAAAAGGUAUCACUCCCUGAACAUCCAACUUGUUUGUGAUGCUGAUGGAGUGAUACUCAGUUACUGCUCCAGAUUCCCAGGUUCUACACAUGACGCCUUCGUGUGGGCCAACUCUGAGCUGAAACAGCGGUUUCAGGAAGGGGAGUUUGGGGACUUCCUGCUUGUUGGUGACAGUGGGUAUCCCCUUGAGCCCCAUCUCAUGGUGCCAGUGAGCAACCCCUCCACUGAAGCGGAGAACCGCUACAACAGGGGGCAUGCCCAAACGAGGGUGAUUGUUGAGCAGACGAUUGGGAUGUUGAAGAGUCGCUUUAGGUGUCUGCACUCUUCUGGGGGAACACUGCAAUAUGCACCCAUCAAGUGUGCAAAAAUUGCAAAUUCAUGCAUGCUACUGCACAAUCGCUGCAUCAAGCGUCGUAUUCCUAUUCCUUCUGAUCUUCCACCAGUAGACAACGAGGAAGUGCCCCAGGCUGCCGUCAUCCGUGCUGUGCAGAGAGGGCAGCGAGGACUUGGCAGAGCUGUGCAGCAGGAGAUUAUACAGCAUUUU